UUUUACAAAGCAAAAAAGAGUAAAGGGACAGCCUCAGAAGCUAAGUGGUCUGGGGUGUGAGUAGUACUUGGAUGGGAGACCACCCUCGAAUCCAAUAUCUGUAACAA
Molecule: ribosomal RNA, 107 nt
Filed under: Crocodylus porosus (Australian saltwater crocodile)
Lineage: Eukaryota; Metazoa; Chordata; Crocodylia; Crocodylidae
Source: RNAcentral